Long non-coding RNA from Cyprinus carpio carpio, 1011 nucleotides. NCBI's taxonomy places the organism in Eukaryota, Metazoa, Chordata, Actinopteri, Cypriniformes, Cyprinidae. The record is from Ensembl.
GUUAAUUACUAUGAAUCAGAUUUGCUCUACAUGUAAACACAGGUUUCAGAUUCCCAGUUCAGAUACCAAGUUUUUGGGGAAAAGUCACAGGAUCUCUAAUGAUGGUGUAAAGAAAAGCACCGGCAAGUAAGAAAAACAAUAUCUGGAUCGUUUCCAAAUAUCCAGAUCCGUUCAGAGUUUCAUCAUGUGAACUGAACAUUAAUCCAGUUUGAAUCCGGUUGUGGAGCAGCUGUCUAAACAGACCAGAACAAACAGAACUAUGUGUCGUCAAACGCUGCUGAUGAUUUCAGGAGUUAUUUGAACACAAGCUGUUUUUCCAUUAUUAAAGUCAAUACUGAUAAGACUCAAGAUCAACAUUAAAGGAUACCACACACACACACACACACACUACGUUAUUGCAGAUAUCCUACAUAAAUCAUUUUAUGGUUCUACACAUUAAAUUGCUGAUGCUAAUAAGGAUAUCUACAUGUCUAUCAACUGAUAGACCCUGAUAUAUUAAAAAAUUGCUAAAUUAUGUGUAUUUAUGAGCCAUAUCUGAAACUUAAGAUUUAACCUGAGAUGUACAUAAACUCCUAUUUUAACCGAAAUGUCAUUAAAAUUCACAUAAUGUAUAAUAAUUAUUCAUACAGUAAUUCAUAAUUUUGUUUAGUCCAUCAUCUACCUCUGUUACCAACUAGACAUGGUUUCUGCUCAUUCCAAGUGAUAUGUAAAUAUCUCCUCAUUAACAGCUCUGGCCAGUUUAGUGUUAAGACUAGAUUUACUGUAUGAUCAGGAAAAGGUUUUGUUGUUGUUGUUGUUUUUUAAUGGGAAAAUUUAGUAAAGUCCACACACUUGUUUGUUUUUUAAUAAGGCAUACAAUAAUAAAGUGGUUUUCUGCUGCAUGUUUGUGAAUUUUUUUUUUGUUGUAUAUUACUGUGAUUAUGUAAAAUAUUAUGGAAUGCUGUUUUGUUUUUAUCACUUUGUUGCAUUGAAUGUAUUCACCAACAGAAAUAAAAAUACAUCCAUAUCCAG